Molecule: ribosomal RNA, 301 nt
Filed under: uncultured bacterium
Lineage: Bacteria
Description: partial 16S ribosomal RNA
Rfam family: Bacterial small subunit ribosomal RNA
Source: RNAcentral
CAGCAGCCGCGGUAAUACGAGGGGAGCUAGCGUUGUUCGGAAUUACUGGGCGUAAAGCGCGCGUAGGCGGCUUUUUAAGUCAGAGGUGAAAGCCCGGGGCUCAACCCCGGAAUUGCCUUUGAAACUGGAAAGCUAGAAUCUUGGAGAGGUCAGUGGAAUUCCGAGUGUAGAGGUGAAAUUCGUAGAUAUUCGGAAGAACACCAGUGGCGAAGGCGACUGACUGGACAAGUAUUGACGCUGAGGUGCGAAAGCGUGGGGAGCAAACAGGAUUAGAGACCCGUGUAGUCCCUGUCUCUUAUAC